GUCCAGACUCCUACGGGAGGCAGCAGUGGGGAAUAUUGCACAAUGGGGGAAACCCUGAUGCAGCGACGCCGCGUGAGUGAAGAAGUAUUUCGGUACGUAAAGCUCUAUCAGCAGGGAAGAAAAUGACGGUACCUGACCAAGAAGCCCCGGCUAACUACGUGCCAGCAGCCGCGGUAAUACGUAGGGGGCAAGCGUUAUCCGGAUUUACUGGGUGUAAAGGGAGCGUAGGCGGUCCGGAAAGUCAGCGGUAAAAGCCCGGGGCACAACCCGGGCGAGCCGUUGAAACUGUCGGACUAGAGACGGCGAGAAGUACGCGGAAUGCGCGGUGUAGCGGUGAAAUGCAUAGAUAUCGCGCAGAACUCCGAUUGCGAAGGCAGCGUACCGGCGCCGGACUGACGCUGAGGCACGAAAGCGUGGGUAUCGAACAGGAUUAGAUACCCCUGUA
RNAcentral lists this ribosomal RNA (445 nucleotides) under uncultured bacterium. RNAcentral's name for it is "bacterial SSU rRNA". It matches the Rfam family "Bacterial small subunit ribosomal RNA", at positions 329 to 792 of the family's 1533-position model. The record is from RNAcentral.